UGGCGCAGCGGCGGGGAUCCCCAGCUGACCUGUGGGGACACAGGGAGCUAGUCACGGGGUGCGGGGCCGAAGGUCCUCAGGGCUAUGCCAAGGCCGAGAGGCACCCAGUCACCUGUAUCCUCCCCUGCUCUUCGUGGCUCCCCAGUGCUGUCCUUUCCUAGACCCACGCCCUCCCUUGGCCAAGACAUUCCUGGCUCAGGCUCCGUCCCACCCCUUCCUUCUCCCUCCCUUCUUGCACACUGGCCUCCCUGUGGCCACAGCCACGCCUGGUCUCCAAGUCCCCAGCAGGGUGCCGGGCACGGGGCAGCCCUCAGCCCAACGGUGCGAGUCAAGAAAAAGCCGGCCCACUCCUUGGAAAACUGAAGCAAGAAGAUCAAAGUUCAAACCCAGCCUGGACAACGUAGAGACUUGGUAAGACCUUGCCUCAGAAUAAGAAAGGGCUGGGGAUGUAGCUCAGGGUAAAAGCCCUGGGUUCAAUUCCCAGGAUGACAAAAAAAAUUUUUUUCAUUAUAAGACUUAGUUUAGUUUGUUUUUUGAGAGAUGGUCUCACUCUGUACUUCAGGCUGAUCUUGAGCUCACUGUGUAGCCCAGGCUGGCCUCAAAAUCUCAGCGAUCCUCCUGCCUCAGCCUCCUGAGUGCUGGGAUUACUGGCAUGUGCCACCAUGCCUGGCUUAUUAUACCAUUGAAAAGGGGGGGGCAAGUUGGAUGUGGUGGUGCAGGCCUGUAAUCCCAGCACUCAGGAGGCUGAGGCAGGAGGAUCACAGGUUCUACCCCAGCCCAGGCAAUUUAGCAUCUUAGUGAGACCCUGUGUCAACACAAAAACUGGAAAAGGGCUGUGGUGCAGUUCAGUGUGAGGGCCCUGAACUCCAUCCCCACACCGUAUGUGCAUACAUGCACACACACACAUGAAAACAGGCACUGUGUGAGGCUCCGGGGCUGACCAGGGGACAGCAGGGCUAGGGCAGUGGCUGGAAGGGGACAGACCCAAAGUCACCCCAUCUUGGCCCCCCAAGAUGUCUCAGCGGCUGGUCCACGGCUUCUCUGUUGGGGCACCUCACGCCUCAUAAGGCCUGACUUUCAGCCUGGCACUGCCUGGUUUAUUUCACUUUUUCAUUUUAUUUUUGUGCAGUAUUGAGGGUGGAACCAGGGCCUGACCAUGCUCUACAAGCGUUCUACCCCUAGGCGACACCCCCAGACCUUUGAACUUUUUGAGACAUGGUCUCUCCAUGUCGUUCAUGCCAGUCUGAACUUGAGAUCCUCCCGCCUCAGCCUCCGGAGUGGCUGGGAUUAUAGGAGUGGGCCAGUGGCCCGGCCGCCUGAGGGCCCAGUGCCACAUACACAUUCAAAGCGGGGCCACACGUGCAGUGCCGCAGGCGGGG
RNAcentral lists this long non-coding RNA (1379 nucleotides) under Fukomys damarensis (Damara mole-rat). RNAcentral's name for it is "lncRNA (ENSFDAG00000029912.1)". Lineage: Eukaryota; Metazoa; Chordata; Mammalia; Rodentia; Bathyergidae. The record is from RNAcentral.